AUGGACCAAUCCAUCCCUUUUUCCCGUGCAUAUGCAUCGGACUCGGAUGACGAUGGUCCCGAUGAAGAAGUUGAUGAGGAGGGGUUCACGCCGAAGGAGGCCCAAGAAUUCAAGAAGGUAUUCGGGAAGGACCACAAGACACCAUUGUUCAAGGAUCUUAGUCUCGCGGAUGAAGCCGUUGUGGAUGGUGGCAAAUGCAUAUCUCUUGGAGCUAGGCCAAGUUCUCAC
RNAcentral lists this ribosomal RNA (228 nucleotides) under Triticum aestivum (bread wheat). Its description in RNAcentral is "partial small subunit ribosomal RNA". The record is from RNAcentral. Lineage: Eukaryota; Viridiplantae; Streptophyta; Magnoliopsida; Poales; Poaceae.